RNAcentral lists this ribosomal RNA (349 nucleotides) under uncultured Glomerales. RNAcentral's name for it is "eukaryotic LSU rRNA". The stretch from base 294 to 349 matches the Rfam family "Eukaryotic large subunit ribosomal RNA", at positions 1 to 56 of the family's 3401-position model. Lineage: Eukaryota; Fungi; Glomeromycota; Glomeromycetes; Glomerales; Glomeraceae. The record is from RNAcentral.
AUAUAGUCGCGUGAAUCAUCGAAUCUUUGAACGCACAUUGCACUGACUGGAGACCCGGUCAGUACACCUGUUUGAGUAUGUUUUACUCCUCUUGCUGCCGUCUGGUUAUUUAUAGCUAGAUGGCUAGGAAGGACGAUGGGUCUUUGUCUAUUACUAGGCAUGACCUGAAUUCUAUAGUGUAGCCAGUCGAAUGACUCUGCCAGUGCAAUAUUAAACGAUGUUGUCACUUGGUAGUCCAUGUCAGCCUUCAGGUCACUUGAAAAUUACAGGCUACUUGUAGCUUAAAACAACCAGCAUCUCAAAUCAGGUGAGAUUACCCGCUGAACUUAAGCAUAUCAAUAAGCGGAGG